This 366-nucleotide ribosomal RNA is filed under the name uncultured bacterium. Its description in RNAcentral is "bacterial SSU rRNA". It matches the Rfam family "Bacterial small subunit ribosomal RNA", at positions 28 to 393 of the family's 1533-position model. The record is from RNAcentral.
GACGAACGCUGGCGGCGUGCUUAACACAUGCAAGUCGAGCGGUAAGGCCCUUUCGGGGUACGACGAGCGGCGAACGGGUGAGUAACACGUGGGUGACCUGCCCUCAGCUCUGGGAUAAGCCUGGGAAACCGGGUCUAAUACUGGAUAUGACUCCAUGACGCAUGUUGGUGGGGUGGAAAGCCUUGUGCGGCUGAGGAUGGGCCCGCGGCCUAUCAGCUUGGUUGGUGGGGUGANGGCCCUACCAAGGCGACGACGGGUAGCCGCCUGAGAGGGCGACCGGCCACACUGGGACUGAGACACGGCCCAGACUCCUACGGGAGGCAGCAGUGGGGAAUCUUGCGCAAUGGGCGAAAGCCUGACGCAGCG